UUGCGUCACAGCACACACCAAAAAAUAACACACAUACAAACAACCUCUUACAACCACAUCAGUGCUAAUCUAUAAAAAUAUAGAAGAAAUAAUGCUAGAACUAGUAACAAGAAUAAAUCUCUACGCACAACUGUAAAUCAGUAAUAGAAAAACUACUGAAAAUUAACAACUUAGUGCUCAUAUU
Molecule: ribosomal RNA, 184 nt
Filed under: Sceloporus slevini
Lineage: Eukaryota; Metazoa; Chordata; Lepidosauria; Squamata; Phrynosomatidae
Description: partial 16S ribosomal RNA
Source: RNAcentral